UGGGGAAUUUUGCGCAAUGGGCGAAAGCCUGACGCAGCAACGCCGCGUGGAGGAUGAAGGUCUUCGGAUCGUAAACUCCUGUCGAUGGGGAAGAAGGCCCGAAAGGGUUUGACUGUACCCGUUGAGGAAGCCACGGCUAACUCCGUGCCAGCAGCCGCGGUAAUACGGAGGUGGCAAGCGUUGUUCGGAAUUACUGGGCGUAAAGGGCGCGUAGGCGGUUUUGCAAGUCAGAUGUGAAAGCCCCGAGCUUAACUCGGGAAUUGCAUCUGAAACUGCUUAACUUGAGUUCUGGAUGGGGUAGUGGAAUUCCCAGUGUAGCGGUGAAAUGCGUAGAUAUUGGGAGGAACACCUGCGGCGAAGGCGGCUACCUGGACAGUGACUGACGCUGAGGCGCGAAAGCUAGGGGAGCGAACG
RNAcentral lists this ribosomal RNA (414 nucleotides) under uncultured prokaryote. Its description in RNAcentral is "bacterial SSU rRNA". It matches the Rfam family "Bacterial small subunit ribosomal RNA", at positions 355 to 774 of the family's 1533-position model. The record is from RNAcentral.